GAUGAACGCUGGCGGCGUGCCUAAUACAUGCAAGUCGAGCGAACAGACGAGGAGCUUGCUCCUCUGACGUUAGCGGCGGACGGGUGAGUAACACGUGGAUAACCUACCUAUAAGACUGGGAUAACUUCGGGAAGCCGGAGCUAAUACCGGAUAAUAUAUUGAACCGCAUGGUUCAAUAGUGAAAGACGGUUUUGCUGUCACUUAUAGAUGGAUCCGCGCCGCAUUAGCUAGUUGGUAAGGUAACGGCUUACCAAGGCAACCAUGCGUAGCCGACCUGAGAGGGUGGUCGGCCACACUGGAACUGAAACACGGUCCAGACUCCUACGAGAGGCAGCAGUAGGGAAUCUUCCGCAAUGGGCGAAAGCCUGACGGAGCAACGCCGCGUGAGUGAUGAAGGUCUUCGGAUCGUAAAACUCUGUUAUUAGGGAAGAACAAAUGUGUAAGUAACUAUGCACGUCUUGACGGUACCUAAUCAGAAAGCCACGGCUAACUACGUG
Molecule: ribosomal RNA, 497 nt
Filed under: uncultured bacterium
Lineage: Bacteria
Description: partial 16S ribosomal RNA
Rfam family: Bacterial small subunit ribosomal RNA
Source: RNAcentral